This 253-nucleotide ribosomal RNA is filed under the name uncultured bacterium. RNAcentral describes it as "partial 16S ribosomal RNA". It matches the Rfam family "Bacterial small subunit ribosomal RNA", at positions 524 to 776 of the family's 1533-position model. The record is from RNAcentral.
GACGUAGGGUGCAAGCGUUGUCCGGAUUUAUUGGGCGUAAAGAGCUCGUAGGCGGUUUGUCGCGUCUGCCGUGAAAGUCCGGGGCUCAACUCCGGAUCUGCGGUGGGUACGGGCAGACUAGAGUGAUGUAGGGGAGACUGGAAUUCCUGGUGUAGCGGUGAAAUGCGCAGAUAUCAGGAGGAACACCGGUGGCGAAGGCGGAUCUCUGGGCCUUACCUGACGCUGAGGCGCGAAAGCUAGGGGAGCGAACAGG